Molecule: ribosomal RNA, 360 nt
Filed under: uncultured archaeon
Lineage: Archaea
Description: bacterial SSU rRNA
Rfam family: Archaeal small subunit ribosomal RNA
Source: RNAcentral
UAAGAGCUGGGCAAGACCGGUGCCAGCCGCCGCGGUAACACCGGCAGCUCUAGUGGUAGCAACUUUUAUUGGGCCUAAAGCGUCCGUAGCCGGUUUAAUAAGUCUCUGGUGAAAUCCUGUAGCUUAACUGUGGGAAUUGCUGGAGAUACUAUUAGACUUGAGACCGGGAGAGGUUAGAGGUACUCCCAGGGUAGAGGUGAAAUUCUGUAAUCCUGGGAGGACCGCCUGUUGCGAAGGCGUCUAACUGGAACGGUUCUGACGGUGAGGGACGAAAGUUAGGGGCGCGAACCGGAUUAGAUACCCGGGUAGUCCUAACUGUAAACGAUGCGGACUUGGUGUUGGGGUGGCUUUGAGCUGUUC